RNAcentral lists this ribosomal RNA (537 nucleotides) under uncultured bacterium. RNAcentral describes it as "bacterial SSU rRNA". It matches the Rfam family "Bacterial small subunit ribosomal RNA", at positions 8 to 522 of the family's 1533-position model. The record is from RNAcentral.
AGAGUUUGAUCAUGGCUCAGAAUCAACGCUGGCGGCGUGCCUCAGACAUGCAAGUCGAACGCGAAAGUUUCCUUCGGGAAGCGAGUAGAGUGGCGCACGGGUGAGUAACACGUAGGUAAUCUACCUUUGGGUGGGGAAUAACAGCCGGAAACGGCUGCUAAUACCGCAUAAUGCAGCGGCUCGACAUCGAGACAGUUGUUAAAGCGGGGGAUUCGCAAGAACCUCGCGCCUAAAGAGGAGCCUGCGGCGGAUUAGCUAGUUGGUAAGGUAAUGGCUUACCAAGGCAUCGAUCCGUAGCCGGCCUGAGAGGGCGGUCGGCCACACUGACACUGACAUACGGGUCAGACUCCUACGGGAGGCAGCAGUCGGGAAUUUUGGGCAAUGGGCGAAAGCCUGACCCAGCAACGCCGCGUGAAGGAUGAAAUCCCUCGGGAUGUAAACUUCGCAAGAACAGGAAGAAUAAGUGGGGGACAAUACCCCCCAUGAUGACGGUACUGUUUGUAAGCUCCGGCUAACUCCGUGCCAGCAGCCGCGGUA